This 449-nucleotide ribosomal RNA is filed under the name uncultured bacterium. RNAcentral's name for it is "partial 16S ribosomal RNA". It matches the Rfam family "Bacterial small subunit ribosomal RNA", at positions 29 to 523 of the family's 1533-position model. The record is from RNAcentral.
AACGAACGCUGGCGGCAGGCUUAACACAUGCAAGUCGAACGCAUCCUUCGGGGUGCGUGGCAGACGGGUGAGUAACGCGUGGGAACGUGCCCUUCAGUUCGGGAUAACCCAGGGAAACUUGGGCUAAUACCGGAUACGUGCGCGAGCAGAAAGAUUUAUCGCUGAAGGAUCGGCCCGCGUCUGAUUAGCUAGUUGGUGGGGUAAUGGCCCACCAAGGCGACGAUCAGUAGCUGGUCUGAGAGGAUGAUCAGCCACAUUGGGACUGAGAAACGGCCCAAACUCCUACGGGAGGCAGCAGUGGGGAAUAUUGGACAAUGGGCGCAAGCCUGAUCCAGCCAUGCCGCGUGAGUGAUGAAGGCCUUAGGGUUGUAAAGCUCUUUCGUCCGGGACGAUAAUGACGGUACCGGAAGAAGAAGCCCCGGCUAACUUCGUGCCAGCCGCCGCAGUAA